CACCGUCGGACUGGUUCAGUUGCCAGCAGUAUUGUACUUCUCGCGUUCACAGGGAGGCAGGGAGGAGCAAAAUGUCUAGGGAAAGGACUAAGGAAUGUCACUGUGCAGUGACAGUGUGUCGUUAAAGGCUUGCACCAAUUUGCCACUGAAGAAGCCAAUGAUUUCAUUGACACUGGUUGGCGUUAUUAAGCUGGUUGCCAACCGCCAUUAAAGACGAAGAAGAGAAAAGACGCAGGAGAAAAGCUGAAGAGGAAAAUGGUGAGAACAAUGAUACGUAGACAAGUAUGAAAGAGGCGGUGCGACGGACUUGACAUUGAAAUUCAAAGGCAGUACCUACCAAUGUACGGCCAACUGUCACAGGGAACAUGGCUGGCGAGAAGGACGGGCGAGGUACGCCGGAGGUCAGCCACAUGCGGGUUUCGACAAGGACGAGAGAGUGGAUCUCUCACAGGGAGCACGUGCUGAGGUGCAAGAGGCGGGCCCCGGGGGGUGCUGACUUGAUGGCCAGGGAGGCAGAGUUGGGCCAGUUCUGACCGUGUCAUGCUGUGGUUGUCCUGAUGGUGCUGCAAGCCUGAAUUGCUGUCGUCCUGCGAGCUGACAUCUGAGCAGCUGUCACUGGCACUAACAAGCACACAGCGCCCCUGGCAGAUGACUGUGAUGGAGGAGGCGGCUGUGGCGGAAGAGCGUCCAGCGGAAUGGGUGUGUCGCUGAUUUGUGAAGACACGCCCCAAAUCCAUGCUGGGUGAAAGGUAUGGUCCCAAUGUCUGCCACCCCAUAAAAAAA
Syngnathus acus (greater pipefish) is the source of this 783-nucleotide long non-coding RNA. RefSeq lists it as uncharacterized. The record is from RefSeq and is a predicted model, not a curated record. The transcript is spliced from 2 exons. Lineage: Eukaryota; Metazoa; Chordata; Actinopteri; Syngnathiformes; Syngnathidae.